AUUGAACGCUGGCGGCAGGCCUAACACAUGCAAGUCGAGCGGAUGAAGGGAGCUUGCUCCUGGAUUCAGCGGCGGACGGGUGAGUAAUGCCUAGGAAUCUGCCUGGCAGUGGGGGAUAACGUCCGGAAACGGGCGCUAAUACCGCAUACGUCCUGAGGGAGAAAGUGGGGGUUCUUCGGACCUCACGCUAUCAGAUGAGCCUAGGUCGGAUUAGCUAGUUGGUGGGGUAAAGGCCUACCAAGGCGACGAUCCGUAACUGGUCUGAGAGGAUGAUCAGUCACACUGGAACUGAGACACGGUCCAGACUCCUACGGGAGGCAGCAGUGGGGAAUAUUGGACAAUGGGCGAAAGCCUGAUCCAGCCAUGCCGCGUGUGUGAAGAAGGUCUUCGGAUUGUAAAGCACUUUAAGUUGGGAGGAAGGGCAGUAAGUUAAUACCUUGCUGUUUUGACGUUACCAACAGAAUAAGCACCGGCUAACUUCGUG
RNAcentral lists this ribosomal RNA (484 nucleotides) under uncultured bacterium. RNAcentral describes it as "partial 16S ribosomal RNA". It matches the Rfam family "Bacterial small subunit ribosomal RNA", at positions 30 to 507 of the family's 1533-position model. The record is from RNAcentral.